RNAcentral lists this transfer RNA (63 nucleotides) under Corydalus sp. 1 YLJ-2021a. RNAcentral's name for it is "tRNA-His". RNAcentral also lists the same sequence under 1 other name. The record is from RNAcentral. Lineage: Eukaryota; Metazoa; Arthropoda; Insecta; Megaloptera; Corydalidae.
AUUUAAAUAGUUUAAUAAAAAUAUUGAUUUGUGGUGUCAAAGAUGUAAAUUUUACUUUAGAUC